UUGUUUUUCUCGUCUCUGAUUUCCUUUGAGCAGUGUUUUGUAAUUGUAAUUCUCAUGGUAGUGAUAUUUCCCCUCUGUGGUUAUCUUAUUCCUAGAUAUGAUGCUCAUUUACCAUUCCAACAAUCCUAGGGCACAGACAAUCACACACACACACAGGUACACACACUUACAUGGAGUCAUGCACACAGGCACACACACAUGCACACACUUGCAUACACAUACACACUAGCACACACACACACACAUAUACACACAGGCACACACACAUACACAUUACAGCAUCUAUUUUUGGCUAACAAUAAUAAAUGAGUCCAUAACACCCAACCUUUCCAGUUUCCAACCAGCUGAGGCCUGCAGAUCAUUUAUGAUGCCUUUUUCCUUCAUUCCCAAGUACUUUUUCCACAUUGAUGCCACAGGCAUUUAUUGAGUGCCCCCUGUGUGCUUGACUUCUAAGCCUAGAAGUGACUAAAGUCAAUGCGCCGGUAUCUCAUGCAGGGGGUUAUACAAGGCUGUGCCCUGCUCAGCAGCAGCAGAACCUCUGUGGGAGGUCUGAGAGGGAGGAACACUGCAGCCAGAUCCAGGACAUAUCACAGCGAGAGCAGCUGGGUGCAGAAGCCCAAGAGCCGCUCCCACGCAUGUGACCAGCUGGUUUCACCCAUGGCACAGACCUUAUCUCACCAAGCUGGCAUUGCCUGUGGGCAAAGUCAGGACCACAGCAAGUGCACAUUGUCCCUCAAAUUUCAAAGAGGUAGUGGAUUAAUGACUCAAUCUGAAAGUCUGUGCUUGUGAGCUUCCCAGAAAACAAACUUGCAGGACAAAAGAACCCACAGUGCACACUGGACCUGCUUCCUGUUCCUGCAAUGCCCCAGGUGAAAACACAGAGU
RNAcentral lists this long non-coding RNA (884 nucleotides) under Homo sapiens (human). Its description in RNAcentral is "HSALNT0355980". The record is from RNAcentral. Lineage: Eukaryota; Metazoa; Chordata; Mammalia; Primates; Hominidae.